GAUGAACGCUGGCGGCGUGCCUAAUACAUGCAAGUCGAGCGAACACAUAAGGAGCUUUCUCCUUUAACGUUAGCGGCGGACGGGUGAGUAACACGUGGGUAACCUACCUAUAAGACGGGGAUAACUUCGGGAAACCGGUGCUAAUACCGCAUAACAUUUCGAACCGCAUGGUUCUAAAGUGAAAGAUGGUUUUGCUAUCUCUUAUAGAUGGACCCGCGCCGGAUUAGCUAGUUGGUAAGGUAACGGCUUACCAAGGCAACGAUACGUAGCCGACCUGAGAGGGUGAUCGGCCACACUGGAACUGAGACACGGUCCAGACUCCUACGGGAGGCAGCAGUAGGGAAUCUUCCGCAAUGGGCGCAAGCCUGACGGAGCAACGCCGCGUGAGUGAUGAAGGUCUUCGGAUCGUAAAACUCUGUUAUUAGGGAAGAAAAAAUGUGUAAGUAACUGUGCACGUCUUGACGGUACCUAAUCAGAAAGCCACGGCUAACUACGUG
RNAcentral lists this ribosomal RNA (497 nucleotides) under uncultured bacterium. RNAcentral describes it as "partial 16S ribosomal RNA". It matches the Rfam family "Bacterial small subunit ribosomal RNA", at positions 28 to 507 of the family's 1533-position model. The record is from RNAcentral.